AUUACUUCUCUAAACAACUUUUAGUCACUUAUAGCAAAAUACAUACCCUUAGCAUUGCUUAUUUAAACCAAUUAACUUAUUUAUUCGGAAAAUUGCCGUAAGGGCAGAACAUUCGCCAUGGAGAUUUGAGGUCAGCAAAGACUGCAGUUCAAGAACUCUGAGUGUGUUUGUGUGGGAGUGGGCACCUUGAGCAGCGACUGCAACCAGGAUGCGUUGAGAAGACUCUGUAGAAUCUCUGCACCGUCGAUGUCCUGAUUCAGGGAAGAAGAAGAAGAAGGAUGCCACCAGCUUCCAGGAUCUUCCAGAUCCCGCAAAGAUCCUAUGUCAUCGAUCCCGUUGCAGAACAAAGAAUAUUCCCUGGCAAAGUGGAGACUCAACACAGCACCAAGCGUCCGACUACGAGAAGCGAGAGAGCUGUAAUCUCUCCCGAUCCCACUUAAUCCCGUGCAAGAGAACCUGCUGCCUCUGGCCGCCGGAAUCCUGCCCUCCCCCCCCCACUCACUCACUCGCUCGCUCACUCGCUCGUUGGUUGCUGUGGAGCUGACAAAUCUUCUUAACUCUUUCAACCAGAGCUGUUGGAAAAAGGAGGUGGCUCCGCAGGUUGGUGACCCAGCUUGGAACGUACCAUUGAGUUUGGUUUUGUUUCUGAAUGCCACAUUUUACACGUGGAAGAAUUCAACAGUGGAUGAAACAUAAUGUCAGUUUCUGUGGGGAAGAUUCGACAUAUUCAACUGACACCAUAGUUACACAAUG
Molecule: non-coding RNA, 753 nt
Organism: Doryrhamphus excisus (bluestripe pipefish)
Lineage: Eukaryota; Metazoa; Chordata; Actinopteri; Syngnathiformes; Syngnathidae
Source: RefSeq, a predicted model, not a curated record